GCGGUGGCGGCCCGGUCGUGCUCUGAGGUCGCCGGUGCCCGUCGCUGCCCGCCGCCGAGGAGCGAGCGCUUGUGCUGCCGGACUCUGCGGGUCCCCGCAUGCUGCUGCCGGUCCCGCCGCUGCUCCGCCCGCCUGUCCACCGCGUCCGUGCCUUGGGCCUCCCGCCCGUUCGCGCUCUCAUGAACCUCCGGGAGCUCGUGUCUGCCCUGAAUGACUUCGCAUCCCCCGCUCUGGCUGAAAGCUGGGAUAAUGUGGGGUUGCUGGUGGAACCAAGUCCUCCCCACACUGUGAAAACCCUUUUCCUCACUAACGACCUCACUGAGGAGGUGAUGGAAGAGGCAGUGCAGAAGAAAGCAGACCUCGUUCUUUCUUACCACCCUCCUAUAUUCACACCACUCAAGCGAGUAACGUGGAAAACCUGGAAGGAACGGCUGGUGGUCCGAGCCCUGGAGAACAGAAUCGGGAUUUAUUCUCCACAUACGGCGUACGAUGCCAUACCUCACGGAGUUAAUAACUGGCUAACAAAGGGACUCGGUGCCUGUACUUCUGUCCCACUGCAUCCAUCGACUGCACCAAGCUCUCCAGCUGAAGGCACUCACCGGGUAGAAUUCUGUGCAGAUGCUGAGCAUCUGGAUGCAGUGCUGUUCAAAAUCAAAGACAUCCCAGAGAUCUCUUGUCUCACUACUCUCCCAGCCAGGGUUGAAGGUGAGGAGCAAACACGAGUCAGUUUGAACUGCUCUCAGAAAGCACUGCUGGAGGUGGUGGCAUUAUUGUCCCAGAACAGCCUUCUUCAUCACAAGACCGAGAUUCUCUUGCUACAAAAGCCUCCUCUUCCCCAUACUGGAAUGGGACGCCUGUGCACCCUGAGCGAGCCAGCCUCCUUGUCAGACAUAAUCGAGCGUAUCAAAGGCCACCUGCAGCUACCCCACGUCCGCGUAGCCGUGGGAACGGGCAGGACACUCGGUACAUGGGCCUGCGAGCCAGACUGCCUGCUAGGACGGGCACUGCAGGAACACAGGGAGCAUGAGUGUGUGCAUUACACUGGGAAACUGUCUUCAGCAGAAUCACCAGUGAAGAAAGCUGCUCUGUGUGCUGGUUCUGGGAGCAGUGUCCUGAAGGGAACGGAAGCUGACCUCUAUCUCACAGGUAUGGGUGAUUAAAGGAGGUCGCUUCGGCCAUAUCAUCUGACCUGGACUUACGUCGUGAUUUUGCCGUUCUCUGGGGGAUAACAGCAACAUCUGGUGACCAAGCGACGUGUACCGAAGACCACAAACCGGACUUUAGAAAGGUGCGUGCCACCCCCCCAACUCCGGCUGGCCUCCCUCUGGGGCCGCGCGGAACACAGACUGAGCCAUGGAGCAGAAAUCCUCUUGGAACUGCGCGGUAUUUUCCACCUUCAAGUCUGUGAUACUGACCGCAGGAGCUACCGUAGGAGGUGGCGAGCUCGCUGCGUUACUGGACUGGUUGCUUCUGCAUGGAUAUUAUGCGGAGACUGAUAGUGACUUGACCUCGGAAGCUUGGAGACGGCUGGGAGACGCGGUACUCCGGGAAUUCGCAGCCGGUAACGCCGAGUUAACAAUGCUGAACCUGCAAAGAGGUAUCAAUGGAAGCUUCUACCUCAGGGCAUGAAGAACAGCCCGACUAUCUGCCAAUGGUAUGUCGCUCAGGCUUUGUCCGGAGUCCGUGAGCAGUUUCCUGAGGCAUGCUGCUACCAUUACAUGGAUGAUAUACUGGUGGCAGCAAAUUCAAACAAUCCUGUUAUUUUGAAUCAUUUUCUCUCAUUGCAGUCUGCAGGCGAGAUGCACCUGCCUCGAGCGAAAGUCUGGGUACGGGACCUCCUCACUAAGAAGUGGGAAGGCCCACACGAGCUCAUUGCUUGGGGUCGUGGGUAUGCUUGCGUUUCCACAGAUACUGGGGUACGAUGGCUGCCUGCGAGCUGCGUUCUCCCUGACCUGUGGCACCAGAAGCAGAACAGGCAACCUCCAAGGCAACCCUCAAAUGAUGACCAGAAUGCAGAUCAACCACUGAAUGAUUCUUCAGAUGAUGACCAGGAUGUUGACCCUCAGCCUGGUCCUUCUACAAGCAGAGACUGAAUUUUAAGAGAGACUGAAUUUUAAGUUUCUUGUGUUAUGGAGUCAGAAUGUUACGCAGAAUACAGAGCCCUUAAGGCUAUUCAGAAUUAAUGACUGGACGUAUAGCUGGGUUCACUAGAUGUAUUUCUCAUGGCAUUGCUGAAGAAUCCCUCUGCCUGCCUUAAAUUAGUAUCUGGUUUGGAUUAUGUUUGGUAACUGGCCAUUACUAAACAGACCCCUUACGCUGUGUUUGUUCUCCUUGCUGCACGGGAUCCCACAGAGGAUUACAAACGUGACCUUUCGGUCCUUUUAAAACAAAAAAGGGGAAUUGUGGAUGCUAGCAAGGGCUAGCAGAGGAAUGUUCCUGUGAAACUUUUCCUUCUCAUAAGAAAGCAGUUAGAGAAAUCCAGCUUCUCACAGCUUCUCCGUGAAAGCUUUCAUUCUCAUGCAAACUGGAUGGACAACAGUUUAAGAGAAUGUAAAUCAUUUCUACACCUGCAAGUUGUUUUGAGAACUGUGAAAAUUAUUUUCCUUCUCUAAGAAUAAUAUCUGGAAAUGGGUGUCUUACUGCUCAACCUAUCACCUUGGGAGGUGGUGAGUCAAUAGGCCAAUCAUGUAAUUUCUCUUUUGUGAACCAUGCUAUAAAAGGUAUGGGUGAUUAAACAAGGUCACUUCGGCCAUAUCAUCUGACCUGGACUUACGUCGUGAUUUCGCCGGUCUCUUGGGGGUAACAGCGACAGUUGGUUCUAGUAAUUCAACUGCAUGAUCUACCGCUAAUGCACCUUUAAGGCUUUUCAAUAGAGGGACUCUCAAUUAAAAAAAGCUUUGGAAGGUUAAAACUCAAUUCCUUAACAAAGCUGUAAAUUCAUGUGCCUUUGUUAUUUUCUUUUAAAAACAGUUUCUGUAACUGUGUUUUUUAAUUACAGGAUUACUAAAACUGAACAAGUAGUAUUUUCACCACUGAGUUUUAUUUUCCAAGUUAGUUUUUUCUGUUGUGACUUUUUUUUAAGAAAAAAAAAAUCUCACAGUAUCAUACCCUACCAUCUCUGGAUGACAAAUAUUUUAUUAGAAAUUUGGAAAGAUCUUAGCACUAUCCUUUUAAGUUAAUAAAAGUUGCUCAUCAAGCAA
RNA transcript from Corvus hawaiiensis (hawaiian crow), 3200 nucleotides. It is a transcript of the gene named NGG1 interacting factor 3 like 1, with no coding region annotated. The transcript has 8 exons. NCBI's taxonomy places the organism in Eukaryota, Metazoa, Chordata, Aves, Passeriformes, Corvidae. The record is from RefSeq and is a predicted model, not a curated record.